AGCUUCUCUAGAUGGGGGUGUGUAGCAGAAAUGCUGAGUCAUGGCCUGAAGCAGUGAUUGAUCACCUGGCGGGCCAACCCAGGGGAGCUCAGCUGCAUGCAAUGCCCCUGAGUGACUGGAAGGGCUGGAUCCAGGAUCCACCCCUUCCCAGACUUCAUUUAAGGGUUGGCAGUGGAGUUGAGGGUAUCUUGCUAAAGAUCCUUGCCUACCAGAGGCCUUCUAAGGGUGGUACCUUGACAGCCGGAAGAACACAGGCUGUAAGUGUUCAGAGCUGCAUGCUUUCCAGGUGGAUUCGGUGAUUUCCAUGUCUGUGUGAUGCAUUACUUGGCACAUGAGCACAACACAUACCGUCACUUCAUCGUACUCAUCACUGACAACCCCAGCUCUAGGACAAGCAGAUGAAAAAUCAUCUCUACACUGUCACUUCCCUUCUUCCUCCUGCACUAGUUCAAAG
Gallus gallus (chicken) is the source of this 454-nucleotide long non-coding RNA. The record is from Ensembl. Lineage: Eukaryota; Metazoa; Chordata; Aves; Galliformes; Phasianidae.